CGGCGGCCACCGCUAUAGGAAUUCGAUUAAGACAUGCGAGUCGAGAGUCGUAAUGGACUCGGCGGACUGCUCAGUAACACGUGGAUAACGUGCCCUUAAGUGGAGGAUAAUCUCGGGAAAUUGAGGAUAAUACUCCAUAGACUACGAAAUCUGGAAUGAUUCAUAGUUGAAAGUUCCGGCGCUUAAGGAUCGGUUUGCGGCCUAUCAGGUUGUAGUGGGUGUAACGUACCUACUAGCCUAUGACGGGUAUGGGCCUUGAGAGAGGGAGCCCAGAGUUGGAUUUUGAGACACGAAUCCAGGCCCUACGGGGCGCAGCAGUCGCGAAAACUUCACAAUGGGGGCAACCCCGAUGAGGGAAUUCCUAGUGCUAGCACAAUUGUGUUAGCUUUUCUCUAGCGUAGAUAACUGGAGGAAU
Molecule: ribosomal RNA, 415 nt
Filed under: uncultured archaeon
Lineage: Archaea
Description: SSU rRNA
Rfam family: Archaeal small subunit ribosomal RNA
Source: RNAcentral